CCUACGGGCGGCUGCAGUGGGGAAUAUUGGACAAUGGGCGAAAGCCUGAUCCAGCCAUGCCGCGUGUGUGAAGAAGGCCUUCGGGUUGUAAAGCACUUUCAGUGGGGAAGAAAGCCUUGGGGCUAAUACCCUCGAGGAAGGACAUCACCCACAGAAGAAGCACCGGCUAACUCCGCGCCAGCAGCCGCGGUAAUACGGAGGGUGCGAGCGUUAAUCGGAAUUACUGGGCGUAAAGCGCGCGUAGGCGGUCUGAUAAGCCGGUUGUGAAAGCCCCGGGCUCAACCUGGGAACGGCAUCCGGAACUGUCAGGCUAGAGUGCAGGAGAGGAAGGUAGAAUUCCCGGUGUAGCGGUGAAAUGCGUAGAGAUCGGGAGGAAUACCAGUGGCGAAGGCGGCCUUCUGGACUGACACUGACGCUGAGGUGCGAAAGCGUGGGUAGCAAACAGGAUUAGAUACCCGUGUAGUC
This 465-nucleotide ribosomal RNA is filed under the name Vreelandella stevensii. RNAcentral's name for it is "partial 16S ribosomal RNA". It matches the Rfam family "Bacterial small subunit ribosomal RNA", at positions 338 to 795 of the family's 1533-position model. The record is from RNAcentral. Lineage: Bacteria; Pseudomonadati; Pseudomonadota; Gammaproteobacteria; Oceanospirillales; Halomonadaceae.